CACUGUAAAGCUAUCUAGCAUUAACCUUUUAAGUUAAAGACCGAGAAAAUCUGUUUCUCUACAGUGA
Molecule: transfer RNA, 67 nt
Filed under: Saimiri ustus (bare-eared squirrel monkey)
Lineage: Eukaryota; Metazoa; Chordata; Mammalia; Primates; Cebidae
Description: tRNA-Lys
Source: RNAcentral